AGCACAUCUAUAGUUUGAGUUUGAGGUCUUCAUAAAAGACGAGUAGCAUUCCAGAUCAUUUAUGGCACUUGAUGUCAGUCCAAAAACUAGAAAUUUCUGGACAGUUUCUCCAGAGCAUCCAUAACCAGAGCAACUCUCAAAAUUUAAGUGGUAAGCUCAAUGUUUCAUGAUAUGUGUUCCCAGAACCAUGACAAUGAUAUCUGUGGUAUCUGCAAUUCAUUUUUUUUCAUUUAUUUUUGUUUUUAUUCAGUGGUCACCAACUAUACCUCAAAU
RNAcentral lists this unclassified non-coding RNA (273 nucleotides) under Hevea brasiliensis (rubber tree). Lineage: Eukaryota; Viridiplantae; Streptophyta; Magnoliopsida; Malpighiales; Euphorbiaceae. The record is from RNAcentral.